RNAcentral lists this ribosomal RNA (219 nucleotides) under uncultured bacterium. Its description in RNAcentral is "partial 16S ribosomal RNA". It matches the Rfam family "Bacterial small subunit ribosomal RNA", at positions 136 to 334 of the family's 1533-position model. The record is from RNAcentral.
UUGGGGAAUAACUCAGGGAAACUUGAGCUAAUACCGCAUAAUGCAGCGGCUCGACAUCGAGACAGUUGUUAAAGCGGGGGAUUGGAGCAAUCCGACCUCGCGCCUGAAGAGAAGCCUGCGGCAGAUUAGCUAGUUGGUAAGGUAAUGGCUUACCAAGGCGACGAUCUGUAACCGGCCUGAGAGGGCGGUCGGUCACACUGACACUGACAUACGGGUCAG